Molecule: ribosomal RNA, 494 nt
Filed under: uncultured bacterium
Lineage: Bacteria
Description: partial 16S ribosomal RNA
Rfam family: Bacterial small subunit ribosomal RNA
Source: RNAcentral
GACGAACGCUGGCGGCGUGCUUAACACAUGCAAGUCGAACGGAAAGGCCUGUCCUUCCUUGUGUUGGACGGGUACUCGAGUGGCGAACGGGUGAGUAACACGUGAGUGAUCUGCCCCCAACUUGGGUAUAAGCCUGGGAAACUGGGUCUAAUUCCCGAUAGGACUGCAGGGUGGUGCCUGUGGUGGAAAACGAUUUUCUAGUGGUUGGGGAUGAGCUCGCGGCCUAUCAGCUUGUUGGUGGGGUAAUGGCCUACCAAGGCGGCGACGGGUAGCCGGCCUGAGAGGGUGGACGGCCACAUUGGGACUGAGAUACGGCCCAGACUCCUACGGGAGGCAGCAGUGGGGAAUAUUGCACAAUGGGCGGAAGCCUGAUGCAGCGACGCCGCGUGGGGGAUGACGGCCUUCGGGUUGUAAACUCCUCUCGACCGCGAGGAAGCCGCCUGGUUGGAAGGGUGGUGACGGUAGUGGUAGAAGAAGCACCGGCUAACUACGUG